RNAcentral lists this unclassified non-coding RNA (145 nucleotides) under uncultured Inocybe. Its description in RNAcentral is "sequence contains ITS1". The record is from RNAcentral. Lineage: Eukaryota; Fungi; Basidiomycota; Agaricomycetes; Agaricales; Cortinariaceae.
UCGAAAUAAAUAUGAACAGGCUGUUGCUGGUCGGAAGACAUGUGCACGCUUGUCUUCUUUAUUUUUCCAACUGUGCACAUAUUGUAUAUGUUACAUUUUAACAACGCGUUUUGGAAUGUCGGGUACUGGGGAUAUAACAAAUAUA